This is a non-coding RNA of Microcebus murinus (gray mouse lemur), 1877 nucleotides long. The record is from RefSeq and is a predicted model, not a curated record. Lineage: Eukaryota; Metazoa; Chordata; Mammalia; Primates; Cheirogaleidae.
GCUGCUGCUAUUACUAUAACAUGGGCGCCAGUUUGUUUAUCUAGCUACCUGAACUCAAGAAAUGUCAAGGAAAGGUAUUUUCCAAUUUUAUUCAUUAGUAUGUUAACAAAUAUCUUUGAACAAUUAGUACCGAAAUCAAAUCAGUUGGAGAGGGAUAAACAAAAAUUAGCUGAGAAUUUAAUGUGUGUGUGUGUGGGGGGGAGGUGUAUAGGGGUUUACAGGACCGUAUUUUCCCACACCACUUGUGGCUUGAAUUGUUGGAAUGCCAUUGCUAAUCACUUUUAAUUAGGUCAGUGAAAAACAGGUAAGGCCAGCAGUUGGUGGGGGCCAGGCAGAUAAUACCCUAGCGAGAAAAAUGGCUUCGUUAUUGAACGGAGCUGGCUUUCACUAGUGGUUUCCCUAACUUAGCUUGAACAAGUCCUUUCGCCUUCCUGGGAUUACGUUUCGAAUUCGUGGGGUGGGAGGAGGAGGAGUUGGAGAGACUGACUUCUCUCUCAGCCACUCAAGCGUUUUCUUCGGGUCCUCUUCAAGUUGAUUAUGUGACCUUUUAGCCAGCCUACUGCGCAUGCCCAUAAGAGGUGCCCUCUGGUUACGGCCCCACUUUCUCCUCAUCUGCGCACGCGCCCUUACCCCCCAAUCGCUGUUAGAGUGAGGCAGGACUUCCUGUCCUCUUUAGAGCGAAUGCCGGACGUGACUGCGGACGAAUCGGCGUUUGCUGUGGCUGGAAGAGUUUAACUUGUCUGCACUGUAGCUCUUUUUGGCGCGAAAGAUGCCGGGUGUGGCUGCUGCAAGCCCUGCCCCGUCUGAGUCCCAGGAGAAGAAGCCGUUGAAGCCCUGCUGCGCCUGCCCGGAGACCAAGAAGGCGCGCGAUGCGUGUAUCAUUGAGAAAGGAGAAGAGCACUGUGGACAUCUAAUUGAGGCCCACAAGGAGUGCAUGAGAGCCCUUGGAUUUAAGAUUUGAGAUGGUGCGCUGCUGUAUGAAUAAGUAAUUCCUGAAGAAUGAAGAUGACUAAAUUAUUUUGGGAGUUCUUUGAUGAACUUUGAUAAGUGGAAAAAGUAUUUAUAAUUUAUUAAAAAAAAGGAAAAUAUCCCUGGUCAACGAUCUUCAGGUGUGUUUUUUCUGUGUUCCUCACAUGCAUGGAUAUAUGUCAACAAAACUUGUAACAUAAGUUUCUUAUGUUCUUGUUACUGUGCCAUUCUGGGAACUCUGGAUAUUUGUUGUUAGGAGAAAGCAGGGACUGAUCGCAGCCAAUGAAAUCUCCAAAAUUAGGUACAUGAAGUAAGAAUAAGUAACCCUUUACCAGUUCAGAGUCAGUGUGGUAACCAUAUCAUCUCAUUCAACAUUCAUUUUUUUAAUUUUAAACUUUCUUAAAGGCAAGAACUGUCAUUAUUCUUUAUUAGCUGUCUUUGGAAAAGUUAGUUUAGAUUUUGGACCAAAUUAGGGUGAUUUGGCUUGGAAGGACUCCACUGUUUGGCGUUGUUAAUCUGUGCAUGGCUAGUUACAUUUUAGGAUAGGCUAGAAUUGUAAGUUUAGUGCCUAGGGGACAGACAGUUGUCUGUUAUUAAUUAGAAGCUGGCCCAGGCUAGAGGCUGAAUUAGUACAAAUAAGUCACUAAUCAAACAACUCAAUACUAUGCCAUAGUGACACCUGGAAUAGAACAGGGAGUAUGGUUCACUUAGUAUAGUAACCUCGUGGUACUCAUGAGUUAGUUAUAGGCUAAUGAAGCAAUUGAUCAUAUUCUACCUUUAAAUACAUUGAAUUUAAAGUCUCAAGAACAAAAGAUACUGAGGAACAUAACUAAGAGGAUAUGUAAUGUUGAUGUGUCAUUGUGUGAUGGGAAAAAUGCCUCUCUAUAAAAUAAAGGAGCUGAAUUAAA